Molecule: ribosomal RNA, 253 nt
Filed under: uncultured bacterium
Lineage: Bacteria
Description: partial 16S ribosomal RNA
Rfam family: Bacterial small subunit ribosomal RNA
Source: RNAcentral
UACAGAGGGCUCAAGCGUUGUUCGGAUUCAUUGGGCGUAAAGGGUGCGUAGGUGGCGUGGUAAGUCAGGUGUGAAAUCUCGGGGCUCAACCCCGAAACUGCACUUGAUACUGCCUUGCUCGAGUACUGGAGAGGAGAUUGGAAUUUACGGUGUAGCAGUGAAAUGCGUAGAUAUCGUAAGGAAGACCAGUGGCGAAGGCGAAUCUCUGGACAGUUACUGACACUGAGGCACGAAGGCCAGGGGAGCAAACGGG